UACGGAGGGUGCAAGCGUUAUCCGGAUUCACUGGGUUUAAAGGGUGCGUAGGUGGGCUAGUAAGUCAGUGGUGAAAUCUCCGGGCUUAACCCGGAAACUGCCAUUGAUACUAUUAGUCUUGAAUACCAUGGAGGUGAGCGGAAUACGUCAUGUAGCGGUGAAAUGCUUAGAUAUGACAUAGAACACCAAUUGCGAAGGCAGCUCGCUGCGUGGUUAUUGACACUGAGGCACGAAAGCGUGGGGAUCAAACAGG
This 253-nucleotide ribosomal RNA is filed under the name uncultured bacterium. RNAcentral's name for it is "partial 16S ribosomal RNA". It matches the Rfam family "Bacterial small subunit ribosomal RNA", at positions 524 to 776 of the family's 1533-position model. The record is from RNAcentral.